CGUGGUCGGCGCGCCCUGUUCGGCGCCGACGUCGCGGGCGGCACGGCGGCGGCGACUGGCCAGGACGCGGGCGAGGCGGCCGGCGCCGCGCACGUGCUGGACUGGGAGAGCGACCCACAAAAACUGCUCAACAUCAGGGCUGACUGGGACCGGUGCCUGGUGGGGCCGGAGGACCCGCUGGGCUCGGCCGUACCGCCCGGCUGGGUGGUGCCCGCCCCGCCCAGCAGCACAACCUGGGCCAGCUACCUGGUCCGCUGACGCCCGCCAGCCACUGGCGGACAGCACACUCCGCCCUGCAGCGCCAUCUGAGCCAGCUACCCGGUCCACUGACGCCCGCCAGCCACCGGCGGACGGCACACCCCGCCCUGCAGCGCCAUCUGGGCCAGCUACCCGGUCCACUGACGCCCGCCAGCCACCGGCGGACGGCACACCCCGCCCUGCAGCGCCAUCUGUGGCGCGCGCCAUCCGCGCCGCCUGCCACGGAGGACUGGGCUGUCACGUUGCAGCACCGUGUCGCGCCAUUUGAUUGGCAGUCCGAGGAUCGGAGUGCGAAGGCGUUGAUUACGGCUACGACGCACCGUUUACUAGCGCUGAUUCCUUUAGUAAGGAUCGUUCUUUUGGCAUUCGAUUAUGUGCCAUAAUUGCGGUGCCUCCUAUGUUGUACGACAAAUAAAGCAAGUCUAACAGCA
Pollicipes pollicipes is the source of this 689-nucleotide long non-coding RNA. RefSeq lists it as uncharacterized. The transcript has 2 exons. The record is from RefSeq and is a predicted model, not a curated record. Lineage: Eukaryota; Metazoa; Arthropoda; Thecostraca; Pollicipedomorpha; Pollicipedidae.